Molecule: long non-coding RNA, 226 nt
Filed under: Nicotiana benthamiana
Lineage: Eukaryota; Viridiplantae; Streptophyta; Magnoliopsida; Solanales; Solanaceae
Description: long non-coding RNA (NBEN_LNC037988)
Source: RNAcentral
AACAUACCAUCUGAUCAGAGGUUAGCUCAAGAGGGACUGCCCAUCGAUUAUAGCUCGAUGGUAAUGAGGAUACUUUUAAUGUUGUAUAUAUAAACUCUCUGCUCUCUUGACUGGAAGAAGGAAAUACUCAACUGAAUAUGAAGUCUCGAUAAAGAGAAUAUUAUAACUUACAGUUCUAGGAAAAUAUACGCAAUUAUCGAACCCAGCAAAAUAUACGUAAAUUCCG